GGAGUUAGCCGGUGCUUCUUCUGUGAGUGAUGUCCUUCCUGCCGGCUAUUAACCCGCAGGCCUUCUUCCUCACUGAAAGUGCUUUACAACCCGAAGGCCUUCUUCACACACGCGGCAUGGCUGGAUCAGGGUUGCCCCCAUUGUCCAAUAUUCCCCACUGCUGCCUCCCGUAGGAGUCUGGGCCGUGUCUCAGUCCCAGUGUGGCUGAUCAUCCUCUCAGACCAGCUACGGAUCGUCGCCUUGGUGAGCCGUUACCUCACCAACCAGCUAAUCCGACAUAGGCUCAUCCGAUAGCGCGAGGCCCGAAGGUCCCCCGCUUUCCCCCGUAGGGCGUAUGCGGUAUUAGCCUGGGUUUCCCCCAGGUUAUCCCCCACUACCGGGCAGAUUCCUAUGCAUUACUCACCCGUCCGCCGCUCGCCACCAGGGAGCAAGCUCCCCGUGCUGCCGCUCGACUUGCAUGUGUUAGGCCUGCCGCCACGCGUCAUCUGAGCGAGAUACAACUACUGA
RNAcentral lists this ribosomal RNA (507 nucleotides) under uncultured bacterium. Its description in RNAcentral is "partial 16S ribosomal RNA". The record is from RNAcentral.